UCCUACGGGAGGCAGCAGUGAGGAAUUUUCCGCAAUGGGCGAAAGCCUGACGGAGCAAUGCCGCGUGGAGGAUGAAAGCCUAUGGGUCGUAAACUCCUUUUCUCAGAGAAGAAAUUUUGACGGUAUCUGAGGAAUAAGCAUCGGCUAACUCCGUGCCAGCAGCCGCGGUAAUGGGGCUGGUA
This 182-nucleotide ribosomal RNA is filed under the name uncultured cyanobacterium. Its description in RNAcentral is "partial 16S ribosomal RNA". It matches the Rfam family "Bacterial small subunit ribosomal RNA", at positions 337 to 534 of the family's 1533-position model. The record is from RNAcentral. Lineage: Bacteria; Bacillati; Cyanobacteriota.